GGGGAAGUAGCUCAACCCGGCAGAGCAGUGGUCUCCAAAACCGCUGGUUGCAGGUUCAACUCCUGCCUUCCCUGC
This 75-nucleotide transfer RNA is filed under the name Paraplanobispora siamensis. RNAcentral describes it as "Planobispora siamensis tRNA-Trp". It matches the Rfam family "tRNA". From Rfam's summary of the family: Transfer RNA (tRNA) molecules are approximately 80 nucleotides in length. Their secondary structure includes four short double-helical elements and three loops (D, anti-codon, and T loops). Further hydrogen bonds mediate the characteristic L-shaped molecular structure. tRNAs have two regions of fundamental functional importance: the anti-codon, which is responsible for specific mRNA codon recognition, and the 3' end, to which the tRNAs corresponding amino acid is attached (by aminoacyl-tRNA synthetases). tRNAs cope with the degeneracy of the genetic code in two manners: having more than one tRNA (with a specific anti-codon) for a particular amino acid; and 'wobble' base-pairing, i.e. permitting non-standard base-pairing at the 3rd anti-codon position. Lineage: Bacteria; Bacillati; Actinomycetota; Actinomycetes; Streptosporangiales; Streptosporangiaceae. The record is from RNAcentral.